GACGAACGCUGGCGGCGUGCUUAAUACAUGCAAGUUGAACGGUAAGGCUUUGUUUUUGUGGGGUGCUCGAGAGGCGAACAGGUGAGUGACACGUGAGUAACAUCCCCUUGACAUCGGGGGAAAUUCUUGAAAAUGGGGUGAUAACAGGGUAGGAGCACUUUCUGCACGGGGGGGGAUGGAGAAAUACGGCGGUUGGGGAUGGACACGCGGUCUAUCGGCUUGUUGGUGGGGUAGUGGCUUACCAAGGCUUUGACGGGUAGCCGGCCUGAGAGGGUGACCGGCCACAUUGGGACUGAGAUACGGCCCAGACUCCUACGGGAGGCAGCAGUGGGGAAUAGUGCGCAAUGGGCGGAAGCCUGAUGCAGCAACGCCGCGUGCGGGAUGACGGCCUUCGGGUUGUAAACCGCUUUCGCCUGUGACGAAGAGUGAGUGACGGUAAUGGGUAAAGAAGCACCGGCUAACUACGUG
Molecule: ribosomal RNA, 468 nt
Filed under: uncultured bacterium
Lineage: Bacteria
Description: partial 16S ribosomal RNA
Rfam family: Bacterial small subunit ribosomal RNA
Source: RNAcentral